GGUGAACGCUGGCGGCGUGCCUAAUACAUGCAAGUCGAGCGAACGGACGAGAAGCUUGCUUCUCUGAUGUUAGCGGCGGACGGGUGAGUAACACGUGGAUAACCUACCUAUAAGACUGGGAUAACUUCGGGAAACCGGAGCUAAUACCGGAUGAUAUUUUGAACCGCAUGGUUCAAAAGUGAAAGACGGUCUUGCUGUCACUUAUAGAUGGAUCCGCGCUGCAUUAGCUAGUUGGUAAGGUAACGGCUUACCAAGGCAACGAUGCAUAGCCGACCUGAGAGGGUGAUCGGCCACACUGGAACUGAGACACGGUCCAGACUCCUACGGGAGGCAGCAGUAGGGAAUCUUCCGCAAUGGGCGAAAGCCUGACGGAGCAACGCCGCGUGAGUGAUGAAGGUCUUCGGAUCGUAAAACUCUGUUAUUAGGGAAGAACAUAUGUGUAAGUAACUGUGCACAUCUUGACGGUACCUAAUCAGAAGGCCACGGCUAACUACGUG
RNAcentral lists this ribosomal RNA (497 nucleotides) under uncultured bacterium. Its description in RNAcentral is "partial 16S ribosomal RNA". It matches the Rfam family "Bacterial small subunit ribosomal RNA", at positions 28 to 507 of the family's 1533-position model. The record is from RNAcentral.